RNAcentral lists this ribosomal RNA (2904 nucleotides) under Enterobacter sp. BIDMC 28. RNAcentral describes it as "bacterial LSU rRNA". It matches the Rfam family "Bacterial large subunit ribosomal RNA". Lineage: Bacteria; Pseudomonadati; Pseudomonadota; Gammaproteobacteria; Enterobacterales; Enterobacteriaceae. The record is from RNAcentral.
UUAAGCGACUAAGCGUACACGGUGGAUGCCCUGGCAGUCAGAGGCGAUGAAGGACGUGCUAAUCUGCGAAAAGCGCCGGCGAGGUGAUAUGAACCCUUGACCCGGCGAUGUCCGAAUGGGGAAACCCAGUGCAAUCCGUUGCACUAUCGUUAACUGAAUACAUAGGUUAACGAGGCGAACCGGGGGAACUGAAACAUCUAAGUACCCCGAGGAAAAGAAAUCAACCGAGAUUCCCCCAGUAGCGGCGAGCGAACGGGGAGCAGCCCGGAGUCUGAAUCAGCUUGUGUGUUAGUGGAACGGUCUGGAAAGUCCGACGGUACAGGGUGAUAGUCCCGUACACGAAAGCACACUUGCUGUGAACUCGAAGAGUAGGGCGGGACACGUGGUAUCCUGUCUGAAUAUGGGGGGACCAUCCUCCAAGGCUAAAUACUCCUGACUGACCGAUAGUGAACCAGUACCGUGAGGGAAAGGCGAAAAGAACCCCGGCGAGGGGAGUGAAAAAGAACCUGAAACCGUGUACGUACAAGCAGUGGGAGCCUCUUUAUGGGGUGACUGCGUACCUUUUGUAUAAUGGGUCAGCGACUUAUAUUCUGUAGCAAGGUUAACCGUAUAGGGGAGCCGAAGGGAAACCGAGUCUUAACUGGGCGUUAAGUUGCAGGGUAUAGACCCGAAACCCGGUGAUCUAGCCAUGGGCAGGUUGAAGGUUGGGUAACACUAACUGGAGGACCGAACCGACUAAUGUUGAAAAAUUAGCGGAUGACCUGUGGCUGGGGGUGAAAGGCCAAUCAAACCGGGAGAUAGCUGGUUCUCCCCGAAAGCUAUUUAGGUAGCGCCUCGUGAACUCAUCUUCGGGGGUAGAGCACUGUUUCGGCUAGGGGGCCAUCCCGGCUUACCAACCCGAUGCAAACUACGAAUACCGAAGAAUGUUAUCACGGGAGACACACGGCGGGUGCUAACGUCCGUCGUGAAGAGGGAAACAACCCAGACCGCCAGCUAAGGUCCCAAAGUCAUGGUUAAGUGGGAAACGAUGUGGGAAGGCACAGACAGCCAGGAUGUUGGCUUAGAAGCAGCCAUCAUUUAAAGAAAGCGUAAUAGCUCACUGGUCGAGUCGGCCUGCGCGGAAGAUGUAACGGGGCUAAACCAUGCACCGAAGCUGCGGCAGCGACGCUUAUGCGUUGUUGGGUAGGGGAGCGUUCUGUAAGCCGUUGAAGGUGUGCUGUGAGGCAUGCUGGAGGUAUCAGAAGUGCGAAUGCUGACAUAAGUAACGAUAAAGCGGGUGAAAAGCCCGCUCGCCGGAAGACCAAGGGUUCCUGUCCAACGUUAAUCGGGGCAGGGUGAGUCGACCCCUAAGGCGAGGCCGAAAGGCGUAGUCGAUGGGAAACAGGUUAAUAUUCCUGUACUUGGUGUUACUGCGAAGGGGGGACGGAGAAGGCUAUGUCAGCCGGGCGACGGUUGUCCCGGUUUAAGCAUGUAGGCGGAGGUUCCAGGUAAAUCCGGUACCUUAUUAACGCUGAGGUGUGAUGACGAGGCACUACGGUGCUGAAGUGAUAAAUGCCCUGCUUCCAGGAAAAGCCUCUAAGCAUCAGGUAACACGAAAUCGUACCCCAAACCGACACAGGUGGUCAGGUAGAGAAUACCAAGGCGCUUGAGAGAACUCGGGUGAAGGAACUAGGCAAAAUGGUGCCGUAACUUCGGGAGAAGGCACGCUGAUGUGUAGGUGAAGUCCCUGCGGACGGAGCUGAAAUCAGUCGAAGAUACCAGCUGGCUGCAACUGUUUAUUAAAAACACAGCACUGUGCAAACACGAAAGUGGACGUAUACGGUGUGACGCCUGCCCGGUGCCGGAAGGUUAAUUGAUGGGGUUAGCGGCAACGCGAAGCUCUUGAUCGAAGCCCCGGUAAACGGCGGCCGUAACUAUAACGGUCCUAAGGUAGCGAAAUUCCUUGUCGGGUAAGUUCCGACCUGCACGAAUGGCGUAAUGAUGGCCAGGCUGUCUCCACCCGAGACUCAGUGAAAUUGAACUCGCUGUGAAGAUGCAGUGUACCCGCGGCAAGACGGAAAGACCCCGUGAACCUUUACUAUAGCUUGACACUGAACACUGGUCCUUGAUGUGUAGGAUAGGUGGGAGGCUUUGAAGCGUGGACGCCAGUCUGCGUGGAGCCAACCUUGAAAUACCACCCUUUAAUGGCUGGUGUUCUAACGUGGACCCGUAAUCCGGGUUGCGGACAGUGUCUGGUGGGUAGUUUGACUGGGGCGGUCUCCUCCCAAAGAGUAACGGAGGAGCACGAAGGUUGGCUAAUCCUGGUCGGACAUCAGGAGGUUAGUGCAAUGGCAUAAGCCAGCUUGACUGCGAGCGUGACGGCGCGAGCAGGUGCGAAAGCAGGUCAUAGUGAUCCGGUGGUUCUGAAUGGAAGGGCCAUCGCUCAACGGAUAAAAGGUACUCCGGGGAUAACAGGCUGAUACCGCCCAAGAGUUCAUAUCGACGGCGGUGUUUGGCACCUCGAUGUCGGCUCAUCACAUCCUGGGGCUGAAGUAGGUCCCAAGGGUAUGGCUGUUCGCCAUUUAAAGUGGUACGCGAGCUGGGUUUAGAACGUCGUGAGACAGUUCGGUCCCUAUCUGCCGUGGGCGCUGGAGAAUUGAGGGGGGCUGCUCCUAGUACGAGAGGACCGGAGUGGACGCAUCACUGGUGUUCGGGUUGUCAUGCCAAUGGCACUGCCCGGUAGCUAAAUGCGGAAGAGAUAAGUGCUGAAAGCAUCUAAGCACGAAACUUGCCCCGAGAUGAGUUCUCCCUGAGACUUUAAGUCUCCUGAAGGAACGUUGAAGACGACGACGUUGAUAGGUCGGGUGUGUAAGCGCAGCGAUGCGUUGAGCUAACCGAUACUAAUGAACCGUGAGGCUUAACCUU